CCUACGGGUGGCAGCAGUGAGGAAUAUUGAUCAAUGGGCGAGAGUCUGAACCAGCCAAGUCGCGUGAAGGAUGAAGGAUCUAUGGUUUGUAAACUUCUUUUAUAUGGGAAUAAAGUGAGGAACGUGUUCCUUUUUGUAUGUACCAUAUGAAUAAGCAUCGGCUAACUCCGUGCCAGCAGCCGCGGUAAUACGGAGGAUGCGAGCGUUAUCCGGAUUUAUUGGGUUUAAAGGGUGCGUAGGUGGUUAAUUAAGUCAGCGGUGAAAGUUUGUGGCUCAACCAUAAAAUUGCCGUUGAAACUGGUUGACUUGAGUAUAUUUGAGGUAGGCGGAAUGCGUGGUGUAGCGGUGAAAUGCAUAGAUAUCACGCAGAACUCCAAUUGCGAAGGCAGCUUACUAAACUAUAACGGACACUGAAGCACGAAAGCGUGGGGAUCAAACAGGAUUAGAUACCCCAGUAGUC
Molecule: ribosomal RNA, 460 nt
Filed under: uncultured bacterium
Lineage: Bacteria
Description: partial 16S ribosomal RNA
Rfam family: Bacterial small subunit ribosomal RNA
Source: RNAcentral